CAAGGGCAGGGGAAGAUAUAGAGUUGGAAGAUAUCAAUAACAUUGUAGCAGGAGGGUAGAAAAUAGAGUACUGAUUGCCCUCCCCACAAAAUUGCCUCCUAACUCAAAUAACCUUAACUGCAAACCCCUCUGGGUUGAACGUGCUUUUUGCUGAAUGCCAGGUCAGUGAAAGCAUUUCUUCAUGGAAGGUCAAGGAACUGUACAUGGCUCUCCGCUUCACUUUAUUCGCCCUACAAGGAGGUUAGGCUGAGAAGAUUAAGUAAGAGGUCCUUUUCUCCCUCCCACUGUUUUGCUUGAACAGAUCAAACUUGUGCCAGCUCACCUGGGGAGCAGCACCCAGCCAUGGUCCAGUGGUCAACAGCCCAGGCCAAGGCAAACCAACCUGAAUCUGCUCUGCUGGAACAUGGAUAAUGUGGGAAGGUCUGUCGCCAUGGUGAUGAAC
This is a non-coding RNA of Pogona vitticeps (central bearded dragon), 442 nucleotides long. The record is from RefSeq and is a predicted model, not a curated record. NCBI's taxonomy places the organism in Eukaryota, Metazoa, Chordata, Lepidosauria, Squamata, Agamidae.